RNAcentral lists this microRNA (21 nucleotides) under Arabidopsis thaliana (thale cress). RNAcentral's name for it is "ath-miR5655". Lineage: Eukaryota; Viridiplantae; Streptophyta; Magnoliopsida; Brassicales; Brassicaceae. The record is from miRBase by way of RNAcentral.
AAGUAGACACAUAAGAAGGAG